This 620-nucleotide ribosomal RNA is filed under the name uncultured Nitrosomonadales bacterium. RNAcentral describes it as "bacterial SSU rRNA". It matches the Rfam family "Bacterial small subunit ribosomal RNA", at positions 882 to 1501 of the family's 1533-position model. The record is from RNAcentral. Lineage: Bacteria; Pseudomonadati; Pseudomonadota; Betaproteobacteria; Nitrosomonadales.
ACGGCCGCAAGGUUAAAACUCAAAGGAAUUGACGGGGACCCGCACAAGCGGUGGAUUAUGUGGAUUAAUUCGAUGCAACGCGAAAAACCUUACCUACCCUUGACAUGCCAGGAACUUUCCAGAGAUGGAUUGGUGCCCGAAAGGGAACCUGGACACAGGUGCUGCAUGGCUGUCGUCAGCUCGUGUCGUGAGAUGUUGGGUUAAGUCCCGCAACGAGCGCAACCCUUGCCAUUAAUUGCCAUCAUUUAGUUGGGCACUUUAAUGGGACUGCCGGUGAUAAACCGGAGGAAGGUGGGGAUGACGUCAAGUCCUCAUGGCCCUUAUGGGUAGGGCUUCACACGUAAUACAAUGGUCGGUACAGAGGGUCGCCAACCCGCGAGGGGGAGCCAAUCUCAGAAAGCCGAUCGUAGUCCGGAUUGUUCUCUGCAACUCGAGAGCAUGAAGUCGGAAUCGCUAGUAAUCGCGGAUCAGAAUGUCGCGGUGAAUACGUUCCCGGGUCUUGUACACACCGCCCGUCACACCAUGGGAGCGGGUUCUGCCAGAAGUAGCUAGUCUAACCGCAAGGGGGACGGUUACCACGGCAGGGUUCGUGACUGGGGUGAAGUCGUAACAAGGUAACC